Molecule: non-coding RNA, 574 nt
Organism: Maylandia zebra (zebra mbuna)
Lineage: Eukaryota; Metazoa; Chordata; Actinopteri; Cichliformes; Cichlidae
Source: RefSeq, a predicted model, not a curated record
CAGGACAGUAGCCACUCAGUGCUCUUUGCUACCCUUGCUCACGGCAGCUGACAUACAGAGUAGCCACAUUUCUGAUUGGAAAGGCUGGAAGACUCUGAAACCUGGACUGGAUUCCAACAGACAGUCACUUCCUGGGUCUGAGAGCAUCUGUGAUGGUCAGGGCGGCUCUCCCACCAAAGCAGACAAGCUAGACAUAGUAGGCUUCUUGCAGAGACUGAAGGAGACUUUGCAUCAUUCUGUGAACACAGACCCAUCAGAAUAAGAGGUGUCAGGAACAUUGUGUGAUGCACACCUAUGUUUUGUCAAUAUUCCAUUCUUUCAAAGCCUUAUUGUAUGAGAUGUGCAGUUUUAGUGUUUACUUAGUAUUUCUGUCAUUUUCGCUUUUACUGUUUGUGUCAGUAUAAUGGAUCUGCUAACAAGACAACCAAAAGAAAGUGAAAAGGCAUAGCAUAUCAAGUUUUACAAGAAUGAUGUUUGUUUUUUAAGAUAAAGCAUAGCAAUAUAAUUGUGACUUAAUUCAUUAAAUAUAGUAUGUUUGGCAAGUUUUACACCUUAAUUAUAUUAAAACAAUAUA